Molecule: ribosomal RNA, 253 nt
Filed under: uncultured bacterium
Lineage: Bacteria
Description: partial 16S ribosomal RNA
Rfam family: Bacterial small subunit ribosomal RNA
Source: RNAcentral
UACGAGAGGCCCAAACGUUAUUCGGAAUUACUGGGCUUAAAGAGUUCGUAGGCGGCGCAGAAAGUAGGGUGUGAAAGCCCUCGGCUCAACCGAGGAAUUGCGCUCUAAACUACUGUGCUUGAGGAACCUAGAGGUGAGCAGAACUGAUGGUGGAGCGGUGAAAUGCGUUGAUAUCAUCAGGAAUACCGGAGGCGAAGGCGGCUCACUGGGGGUUUUCUGACGCUGAGGAACGAAAGCCAGGGGAGCGAACGGG